UUACCUCUUUGCACUUGGGUCCAGUCCUUAAUAGUCCCGUGACACAAGGUGUACUUUUCCAGUCGUUACGAUAGCAAAGCCACACUGACAUGCCCUCAAUUAAGCUGAAUAACGGCUUGUCUACAGAUCACUAAAAAUAACAUUAUGAAAUGACUUAAAAAUUAGUGGUAAAGGUGAUGUGCCAAAAGUCAUGGGAUGCGAUGCUAGAUCCUGAUCCAGUACAUGUGGAAUAUGAGUGUAAUUGUUCGUAUCUCUCUGUGUUUCAGUGCUGAUCUGUAAUUUGGUGGCGAAUCUCGGGAUGAUCAGUAUCCUCAGCGUUUACCUGCCGCAGAGAUCCCUCCCAUACCUGCUCCUCCCCCUGUCAAUCAUCAUCUGGGCCACCACCUCCUUCACCAGCAGGAUGCUGAUGCUGUUUCUUGACCGAACGAAAGACUUUGGAAUGGAGAAGAGUCAGCUCUCCAUCUCUCCAUCCUUCCGCCAUAAUCCCUCCAUCCCUCCAUCCCUCCACGCCCUGCUCUUCACCCUGGAGAUGAGGAGACGACAGAGAGAGAGCCGGCAGAACGUUCCCUAAACCUCCGAUACUGACCGUAUGAGUCCUGGAAAACCACUCAACACUGUAUAUAUAUAUAUAUAUAUAUAUAAAAUACUAUAUAACACUAUUAUCAUUAUUAUAACCAGAAUAUUCACUCAUCUCUCUUCAAUCUCAUAUAAACAUAAAUAAUGUUUCCCUAAACCUCUACAGCCGCCGAUACUGACCAUACGAGUCCAAAGAUCCACUUAACACUGUAUAUAUAUAUAUAUAAAAUACUAUAUAACACUAUUUAUAACACUAUAUAACCAGAAUAUUCACUCAUCUCUCUUCAAUCUCAUAUAAACUUAAACAAGUUACAUAAAUUAAGCCGCCGAUACUGACCGUACGAGUCCAAAGGUCCACUUAACACUGUAUAUAUAUAAAAUACUAUAUAACACUAUAUAACCAGAAUAUUCACUCAUCUCUCUUCAAUCUCAUAUAAACAUAAAUAACGUUCCCUAAACCUCUACAGCCCCCGAUACUGAGCGUACCAGUCCAGAAAAACACCCAACACUGUAUAUAUAUAAAAUACUAUAUAACACUAUAUAACCAAAAGUAUUCACUCAUCUCUCUUCACUCUCAUAUGAACUUAAAUAACGUCUCGUUCUUAAUCUGUUAACUUUAAUAUGAUGUUUGUUGAGCCUUUACAGCUUUAACAGCUUCAGCUCUUCAGUUUCUCUUUCACGAGGUUUAGGAGUGUGUUUAUGUGUUUAUGGUGUUUACAGGAGUUUUUCACCCCUGAUUCUUCACUCUAAUUCAUCACUAAGAUGUUUUAUCAGGUUGAGAUCAGGACUCUGUGCAGGCCAGUAGGGGUGUGCCAUAUUGUAUCGUACGCAAUAAUAUCUCCAACAUUUUUGAAUAUGGUGAUUAUUAAUAUUAUAUCUUGAAAUAUGGUAUCAUAUGAACCACCCCUAAUUAUCACAUCAGGGAUCUACUUUUUACUGUUUUUAUCAAAAGAAAAAUUCACACUGUUCUCAUUUCCCAUUAUAUAUCUACUAGA
Molecule: long non-coding RNA, 1571 nt
Filed under: Astyanax mexicanus (Mexican tetra)
Lineage: Eukaryota; Metazoa; Chordata; Actinopteri; Characiformes; Acestrorhamphidae
Description: lncRNA (ENSAMXG00005001798.1)
Source: RNAcentral